Non-coding RNA from Lonchura striata (white-rumped munia), 305 nucleotides. NCBI's taxonomy places the organism in Eukaryota, Metazoa, Chordata, Aves, Passeriformes, Estrildidae. The record is from RefSeq and is a predicted model, not a curated record.
UGCUCCUGCAGCUCCCUGGCCGCCUCAUUGGACGCCUCGGUGACGCACGUGGUGACAUCACAGGACCGCGACCCCGCCCUCCAGGAGGCGCUGAAGCUCCGCCCCUCGCUGCUCGUGGUGCGUCCCCAUUGGCUGCUGCUCUGCGGGCAGCGGCAGCGCCCCCUGCCGGCCCAGCCCUUCCUGGUGACGUCAGCGAUGACGUCAUCGGCGCCGCUGUGACGUCAUCGGCGCGCCCCACCCCCCUUCCCCCUCCCGGCCACGCCCCCUUUUCCAUUUCGAAUAAAGAGAAUUUGGGUAGAAAUUGA